UUUAAGUUGGUGAAUGCUGCCAUAAUUCUUGCCUUCAGUUCAUCUUUGGUAUUACAAGGAGUUUUGUUAGUCUCUCGUUCAACUUUGCCCCACAUAUAAUAAUCAAUGGGGUUACAGUCUUGGGAGUUAGGUGGCUAGUUGUUAGAAAUCGGAAGAGUGUCG
Octopus sinensis (East Asian common octopus) is the source of this 162-nucleotide long non-coding RNA. RefSeq lists it as uncharacterized. The transcript has 3 exons. NCBI's taxonomy places the organism in Eukaryota, Metazoa, Mollusca, Cephalopoda, Octopoda, Octopodidae. The record is from RefSeq and is a predicted model, not a curated record.